UACGGGGGGGGCAAGCGUUGUUCGGAAUUACUGGGCGUAAAGGGCUCGUAGGUGGCCAACUAAGUCAUACGUGAAAUCCCUCGGCUUAACCGGGGAACUGCGUCUGAUACUGGAUGGCUUGAGGUUGGGAGAGGGAUGCGGAAUUCCAGGUGUAGCGGUGAAAUGCGUAGAUAUCUGGAGGAAUACCGGUGGCGAAGGCGGGACUCUGGGCCGAUACUGACGCUGAGGUGCGAAAGCGUGGGGAGCAAACAGG
RNAcentral lists this ribosomal RNA (253 nucleotides) under uncultured bacterium. RNAcentral's name for it is "partial 16S ribosomal RNA". It matches the Rfam family "Bacterial small subunit ribosomal RNA", at positions 524 to 776 of the family's 1533-position model. The record is from RNAcentral.